Molecule: ribosomal RNA, 774 nt
Filed under: uncultured Neocallimastigales
Lineage: Eukaryota; Fungi; Neocallimastigomycota; Neocallimastigomycetes; Neocallimastigales
Description: partial large subunit ribosomal RNA
Rfam family: Eukaryotic large subunit ribosomal RNA
Source: RNAcentral
GUAGUCUCGCACAGAUGCAUAUCAAUAAGCGGAGGAAAGGAAACUAACAAGGAUUCCCCUAGUAACGGCGAGUGAAGCGGGAAGAGCUCAAAUUUAAAUCUUAAAGGGUUUCCCUUUACGAAUUGUAGUUUAAAGAAGUGUUUUCUGUUGAGGUUUUGGUAAAAGUUCUUUGGAAUAGGACAUCAUAGAGGGUGAGAAUCCCGUAUUUGACCUUUACUUUCAACUUUGUGAUACACUUUCAAAGAGUCGGAUUGUUUGGGAAUGCAGUCCAAAAUGGGUGGUAAAUUUCAUCUAAAGCUAAAUAUUGGCGAGAGACCGAUAGCGAACAAGUACCGUGAGGGAAAGACUGAAAAGAACUUUGAAAAGAGAGUUAAACAGUACGUGAAAUUGUCAAAAGGGAAGCGUUUGACACCAGUGUUGUUUUUCUGAAAAUCAAUUAAAGAACUGUUUAUGCUAAGCUGUUUAGACUUUAUCAGCUAACUGUUUAGUUUUGAGCUUUUCUUUAAUGCACUUUUCAGUUAACAAGUCAACAUCAAUUUCUUUUGCUGUAAAAAAGCUUGAGGAAGGUGGCUUGAGAUUCGUCUUAAGUGUUUAUAGCCUCUUGCCUAUGCAGUCGGAGAGAUUGAGGUCUGCAGCGUAGAUCCUUCGGGGCUAAAUGCAUUUGUGCUAAGUUAUAGCAUUUUAUAGACAACUUGUUGACUAUGAUUUGUCUUGUAGCUUACUCGCUUAUGUUAUUUUACCUACGCUUAGGAUGUUGAGUAGCGACAUACGCAC